AUGAAUGUUAAUGCAGCGGUGGCGAAAUCUUCUAACAUUGGUGCUGUUGGUGUGGUCUGUCGAAGUGACCGUGGCGUAUUCCUGGGGGCGUCCGCAGUAGUAUUUCAAGGUGUGACAGAACCUGCUACUCUGGAGGCGUGCGCGUGUAGAGAAGUUUUAGCUCUUGCGGAGGACCUGGCCGUCUCAAAAGCACGCAUUGCAUCUGACUGUCUAAGAGUCAUAAACGACCUAAAUAGCGAGCGGAACUUAGGGGAGUACUGCAUGAUCCUUAGAGAGAUUGACGAUAGAAAGACGAGACUACAGAGUUGCGAGUUUGUCCACGAACACCGCACAAGUAAUGAUGAGGCACACAGAUUAGCUAGAUCAUCCAGUACACUUUGUAUUGGUAGACGUGUAUGGCUUAUUGAUCCACCGGAUCACAUUUGUAUCCCUUUAAACAUUAUUGAAUGA
Molecule: ribosomal RNA, 450 nt
Filed under: Triticum aestivum (bread wheat)
Lineage: Eukaryota; Viridiplantae; Streptophyta; Magnoliopsida; Poales; Poaceae
Description: partial small subunit ribosomal RNA
Source: RNAcentral